RNAcentral lists this ribosomal RNA (264 nucleotides) under Bradyrhizobium sp. RNAcentral describes it as "partial 16S ribosomal RNA". It matches the Rfam family "Bacterial small subunit ribosomal RNA", at positions 50 to 336 of the family's 1533-position model. Lineage: Bacteria; Pseudomonadati; Pseudomonadota; Alphaproteobacteria; Hyphomicrobiales; Nitrobacteraceae. The record is from RNAcentral.
ACCGUAAACACCCGGAAGUCGACCGGGGGUACGUUAACGUCACCGGGAGACGGGUGAGUAACCGGUGGGAACAUACCUUUUGGUUCGGAACAACACAGGGAAACUUGUCGUUUAAUUGGAUAACCCGUUACGGGGAAAGAUUUAUCCCGGAAAGAUUCCCCGGGGUCUGAUUACGUAGUUGGUAGGGUACCCGGGUACCAACGGGACGAUCAGUACGUGGUCUGAGACGGGGAUCCAGUACAUUGGGACUGAGACACCCCGGAA